This 500-nucleotide small RNA is filed under the name Arabidopsis thaliana (thale cress). RNAcentral's name for it is "ATSL150450". Lineage: Eukaryota; Viridiplantae; Streptophyta; Magnoliopsida; Brassicales; Brassicaceae. The record is from RNAcentral.
AUGAAACAAUUGUUAGUCUUUCUAUUUGUUUUUAGCAUUUGCAUGCUAGACCAUGUAUCAGGCGGCGGAAUCAGGAUCUCGAACGAACUCAAAAACAAGAAACUUCUUUGGAUGCGGUGUUAUUCCAAAGAUGACGUAUUAGGUCCAAAGAUAAUACCAAUCGGACAACAUUAUGAAAAUCUUUUUGAUAUUAACUUUUGGCAUACAACGCGUUUUAUGUGUACUUUGAGACAAGGUCCUAACUUUAGACACUAUCAGAACUUUACAGCAUUCAAGCUUUUCGCUAUGGCAGAUGAAGGAGGUCUAUGGGAUUGGAGAGCAAGAGAAAAUGGGAUCUAUUUAAAGAAAGAAGCUGGCGAGAAAGUUUUAAACCCAAUUUGGAUGCAUAAAGAGUAUGCUUGGAUUUAUUAAAAUUAUUGACAAACUAUCUAAAAAUGAAAAAGAAGAGUUUUCUUAUGAUUUAAAAACAAAAGAAAUUAUACAUGUAUGAGAAAAAAUCU